Molecule: long non-coding RNA, 1865 nt
Organism: Trachemys scripta elegans
Lineage: Eukaryota; Metazoa; Chordata; Testudines; Emydidae
Exons: 3
Source: RefSeq, a predicted model, not a curated record
UGUUGCACCUUCUGCUGCUGGCUUGUAUUGCAAUACAUUGUCUUUCAGCAUAUUUUUAGUAGUGAUCUUCAGAACACUGUUUUCUAUUUUGGAGGUGGAGAGCUAAAACUGAAAAUACUGGAUUUCCACAAAGAAAGUGGCAGAUUUCCUCAUUUCCAGCUUCUUGUGUCUUUGGAUGAAACUCUGAUCAUCCCUACAGCAACCUGCAGGGAACUUGGAGGGAGGAGCACAGGCUGCAGAAGCAUAUAAGGUAAAGAAGUUCAACAACCCAAAGACUCUCUGCCCCCACCAUACAACUGGAAAGAAAAACACUGAGGAGAGAAGGCCUAGAAUCGAGACUGAUGUCCCGCAUCAAUGGACAUUGUCCAUGGAGGCCAUCUUCACCACCUGAGAGCAGGAGGAAAUACUACUGAGUUUCUCAGAGCAGGAGGGACACUGAUCAGCAUGAUGAAAAUACUAGGAAGGAGUGAAGAAGUAUGUGGAAAUUAUGGCUUCACAUUUGCUAAAGGUGAUUUAUUGUAUGUUUUGUGAAAUCAUAACCAAAAAUGUUAACUUCUAAUUUACUAGUUUUAUUAAAUCUAAAUGGUCAUAUCUCAUUUCCUCCUUUGGCUAUUAUGACUGUGCAACAGUGAGAUAACAAUUGUUACAAAAAGUUAUGGCAGAGCAGGGAGGGAUACUCCUACAUUGGAUUAAGCUAAUGGUACUCUCUAAAUUGUCACUAUAUAGAUUUAAUUGCUCCCUUGCUUAAAUUUUUACCUGCAUCCACAAGACAAGGACUUUGAUCAUUGGCCAAUAGGUAAACUGUGUUUUUUAGAUGGUAUAAUUCUAUUUUUCUGCAAGAUAAAAAUUGAGGGAUUCUAGUUAUUGCAUCUGCAUCCAUCUGUCUAAGCUUAUGGGCCAUGUAUAACUUGGAACCGUAACUAAAAUAGAGAGAGAAAGAUUGUCCCCUCCUCCUCUACAUGUGGAAGGGGAAAAACCCAGUGGAUGCCUUGUGAUAUGGGACAGUGCUGCCUAUUCAGCACUACUCCGGGUUCUUCUGACCUUACUGAAGGUUCUGCAGGGAUCUGGAUCCAGGUGUGAGGAGGGAAUGGGCAAUUGGGGGAGGGAGUGCAUCUGAAGAAAUGGCUAUUCUCCAUGGCAUUGUAUCACACAAGCCUGUGGGAAUUCUACAUCGAAAUUAAUGCUAGAGUUCAGUUAGGUGUUGUCUCCCUAUAUGCUGUGGAAUAAAUCCAUGUGUGGGUUUCAGGGACAACUUACCGGAGGGGAAGUCUUAAGAGCAUGGCUUCAUUGGAGCUAUGCAGCUAAGGGGCUGGUGGAGGGCUAUAAGGGUCUGGAAGGCCACAAAGAUGCUCAGGGCCUCUGUAGGAUGCCUCUUGCAGAUCAUCUCAAGAUACAUGUGGAUCUCAGGCAAUCAACAGCUAGGAGAUGCAGCCUCUGCCCCUUCCAGAUGGUGUCAAACAUUAUGGAGUUUCUUGUCCCGUACAGCUUAUUCUCAUCGAGGGGAUGAUUUGGCCAUAGUUAUUUUUCAAAGUUAUGUAAUACUUUGAAAAGUUUGUUUGUAUACAGUAUACACACAUAUGCCAAGAUCUGAACCCAUUUGCUUACAGCUAAAUAAAUGAGUUGGUUAAAAACCCAUAGAUAACCAGUAAGAUUUGUAGUCCUCUUCUGCCACCAUAGGUACUGGAGUUCAAGCACAGCCUGAGGGGAAAUGUACCUAGGCAUCCAUUAGGUCUAUGUAAUGAUUCUGUAUUUUUAUAAGCACUCCGAUACAGAUUCUAUAAAUAGCAUGUAAUUUUAAGCAUAGUAGUGACUAUGUAGUGGAAUUUUACAGAGCUUUAGUUGAAGGAAAGUAGGUGGGAAUGGAG